GACGAACGCUGGCGGCGUGCCUAAUACAUGCAAGUUGAGCGCUGAAGGUUGGUACUUGUACCAACUGGAUGAGCAGCGAACGGGUGAGUAACGCGUGGGGAAUCUGCCUUUGAGCGGGGGACAACAUUUGGAAACGAAUGCUAAUACCGCAUAAAAACUUUAAACACAAGUUUUAAGUUUGAAAGAUGCAAUUGCAUCACUCAAAGAUGAUCCCGCGUUGUAUUAGCUAGUUGGUGAGGUAAAGGCUCACCAAGGCGAUGAUACAUAGCCGACCUGAGAAGGUGGUCGGCCACAUUGGGACUGAGACACGGCCCAAACUCCUACGGGAAGCAGCAGUAGGGAAUCGUCGGCAAUGGACGAAAGUCUGACCGAGCAACGCCGCGUGAGGGAAGAAGGUUUUCGGAUCGUAAAACUCUGUUGGUAGAGAAGAACGUUGGUGAGAGUGGAAAGCUCAUCAAGUGACGGUAACUACCCAGAAAGGGACGGCUAACUACGUG
RNAcentral lists this ribosomal RNA (497 nucleotides) under uncultured bacterium. RNAcentral describes it as "partial 16S ribosomal RNA". It matches the Rfam family "Bacterial small subunit ribosomal RNA", at positions 28 to 507 of the family's 1533-position model. The record is from RNAcentral.